GCCAGACUCCUACGGGAGGCAGCAGUGGGGAAUAUUGCACAAUGGGGGAAACCCUGAUGCAGCGACGCCGCGUGAGUGAAGAAGUAUUUCGGUAUGUAAAGCUCUAUCAGCAGGAACGAGACAAGACGGUACCUGACUAAGAAGCCCCGGCUAACUACGUGCCAGCAGCCGCGGUAAUACGUAGGGGGCAAGCGUUAUCCGGAAUCACUGGGUGUAAAGGGAGCGUAGACGGCUGUGCAAGCCUGAAGUGAAAGGCGGGGGCCCAACCCCUGGACUGCUUUGGGAACUGUACGGCUGGAGUGCAGGAGAGGUAAGUGGAAUUCCUAGCGUAGCGGUGAAAUGCGUAGAUAUUAGGAGGAACACCAGUGGCGAAGGCGGCUUACUGGACUGUAACUGACGUUGAGGCUCGAAAGCGUGGGGAGCAAACAGGAUUAGAUACCCGAGUAC
This 447-nucleotide ribosomal RNA is filed under the name uncultured bacterium. Its description in RNAcentral is "bacterial SSU rRNA". It matches the Rfam family "Bacterial small subunit ribosomal RNA", at positions 330 to 793 of the family's 1533-position model. The record is from RNAcentral.